This 253-nucleotide ribosomal RNA is filed under the name uncultured bacterium. RNAcentral describes it as "partial 16S ribosomal RNA". It matches the Rfam family "Bacterial small subunit ribosomal RNA", at positions 524 to 776 of the family's 1533-position model. The record is from RNAcentral.
GACAGAGGGUGCAAGCGUUGUUCGGAAUUACUGGGCGUAAAGGGCGCGUAGGCGGCCUGUUAAGUCGAACGUGAAAUCCCUGGGCUCAACCCAGGAACUGCGUCCGAUACUGGCAGGCUUGAAUUCGGGAGAGGGAUGCGGAAUUCCAGGUGUAGCGGUGAAAUGCGUAGAUAUCUGGAGGAACACCGGUGGCGAAGGCGGCAUCCUGGACCGAUAUUGACGCUGAGGCGCGAAAGCCAGGGGAGCAAACGGG